GUAGGGAAUAUUGGGCAAUGGUCGGAAGACUGACCCAGCCAUGCCGCGUGCAGGAAGACGGCCCUCUGGGUUGUAAACUGCUUUUAUCUGGGAAGAAAAAGGCCAUGCGUGGCAAAUUGCCGGUACCAGAUGAAUAAGCACCGGCUAACUCCGUGCCAGCAGCCGCGGUAAUACGGAGGGUGCGAGCGUUGUCCGGAUUUAUUGGGUUUAAAGGGUGCGUAGGCGGCUGAUUAAGUCAGCGGUGAAAGACUUCGGCUGAACCGGGGCAGUGCCGUUGAUACUGGUUGGCUUGAGUGUCGGAGGGGUACAUGGAAUUGAUGGUGUAGCGGUGAAAUGCAUAGAUACCAUCAGGAACACCGAUAGCGAAGGCAUUGUACUGGCCGACAACUGACGCUGAUGCACGAAAGUGUGGGGAUCGAACAGGAUUAGAAACCCGAGUAGUCC
This 444-nucleotide ribosomal RNA is filed under the name uncultured bacterium. RNAcentral describes it as "partial 16S ribosomal RNA". It matches the Rfam family "Bacterial small subunit ribosomal RNA", at positions 354 to 796 of the family's 1533-position model. The record is from RNAcentral.